RNAcentral lists this ribosomal RNA (253 nucleotides) under uncultured bacterium. RNAcentral describes it as "partial 16S ribosomal RNA". It matches the Rfam family "Bacterial small subunit ribosomal RNA", at positions 524 to 776 of the family's 1533-position model. The record is from RNAcentral.
UACAGAGGGUGCAAGCGUUAAUCGGAAUUACUGGGCGUAAAGCGUGCGUAGACGGUUAUGUAAGUCAGGUGUGAAAGCCCCGGGCUCAACCUGGGAAUUGCAUUUGAGACUGCAUAGCUAGGGUGCGGAAGAGGGAAGCGGAAUUUCCGGUGUAGCGGUGAAAUGCGUAGAUAUCGGGAGGAACACCAGUGGCGAAGGCGGCUGUCUGGGCCAGUUCUGACGCUGAGGCGCGAAAGCGUGGGGAGCAAACAGG